Long non-coding RNA from Vigna radiata var. radiata (mung bean), 752 nucleotides. RefSeq lists it as uncharacterized. The record is from RefSeq and is a predicted model, not a curated record. The transcript is spliced from 3 exons. NCBI's taxonomy places the organism in Eukaryota, Viridiplantae, Streptophyta, Magnoliopsida, Fabales, Fabaceae.
GCCAAUGAGGGUGGUAGAGGACCAAGCAUUUUGGAUACCUUCACUCACAAAUAUCCUGCUUAAAAUGCAGUUUUGUUAAAGGCUGAGAGCAUGGGAGAUAAGGUUGAGUGGAUUAACAAGCUAAGAAAUGUUGCACAGGCUAAAGGAGUUCAAGCCAUUGGGGAACCGAGUUUUCCUAUCGGCAAAGUCUUUUUGAUUUGUAUUUGAUCAAGGAAGCGUGUCAAACAAUGAAUGUAAUGAAGAUGAAGAAAAUUUGAUAUGUAUAAACAAUUAGUUAUGUUUGAACUAAUAUGGUAUGAAAUUUUGAGGAUGCAAAUAUAUCACCUGCCAUCCUUUUAGUUAUGUAUGUAUUGAUAUGCUAGUAUUUUUAAGUGCUUUCCUAAAGCUGCCAAACAAGGGAGGGAUCAUCCUCAUCACUUCUUGAGCUAGUCUCCAUGUAUAUUUCAUCUUUUGAAUCACUUUCCUUGUUAGUCUCUCUUAAAUAUAGUUCUGGUUUUAUUAUGACUGUUUCUAAAUAUUAAUAUGGUUGUUUCUGAUGAAUGAGUUUCAUUUGUUUUGGAUUUUGUGGUGCUGUCUUGUUUGUUUCCAUGUUGAUCGAAAAUGGUAUCUAUAAUAAGCUUGGUGCAGAGGUAAGAAAUUAUGUUCGAAUUCUAUUGAUUUUUGCCAUAUGUUCUGAUGCUUUCGUGGAAUUUGGGAGAUGCUCUGUAGUUUAAUUGUUCUUUAUGACUAAAAAAACUUCAUACAAAUGAUUG